RNAcentral lists this ribosomal RNA (253 nucleotides) under uncultured bacterium. Its description in RNAcentral is "partial 16S ribosomal RNA". It matches the Rfam family "Bacterial small subunit ribosomal RNA", at positions 524 to 776 of the family's 1533-position model. The record is from RNAcentral.
UACGGGGGGGGCAAGUGUUGUUCGGAAUUACUGGGCGUAAAGGGCUCGUAGGCGGCCAACUAAGUCAGACGUGAAAUCCCCAGGCUCAACCUGGGAACUGCGUCUGAUACUGGAUGGCUUGAAUUCGGGAGAGGGAUGCAGAAUUCCAGGUGUAGCGGUGAAAUGCGUAGAUAUCUGGAGGAAUACCGGUGGCGAAGGCGGCAUCCUGGACCGACAUUGACGCUGAGGAGCGAAAGCUAGGGGAGCAAACGGG